AAAGUCGUAACAAGGUCUCCGUAGGUGAACCUGCGGAGGGAUCAUCAAUGAAUUUUCACCCUAAAAAAAGUGGCUCCUCUCAUCAUAAUAACAUGAGGGGGUCGCCGCUUUUUCAAACAAACGAUCGCAGCUAUAUAAAAAUAUGGAAGAGAGAGAUUGGAUUGGGGAGGGGAAUUGGCUUGGAAAACACACAAGUGGUUGCCUGAUAAUUUGAUUGGAAAAGAAAAGAAAAAUACAACUUUCAACAACGGAUCUCUUGGCUCUC
This 265-nucleotide unclassified non-coding RNA is filed under the name Basidiomycota sp. Its description in RNAcentral is "partial contains small subunit ribosomal RNA, internal transcribed spacer 1, and 5.8S ribosomal RNA". The stretch from base 1 to 47 matches the Rfam family "Eukaryotic small subunit ribosomal RNA", at positions 1785 to 1831 of the family's 1831-position model. Lineage: Eukaryota; Fungi; Basidiomycota. The record is from RNAcentral.